Phrynosoma platyrhinos (Desert horned lizard) is the source of this 73-nucleotide non-coding RNA. The record is from the annotation of a GenBank genome assembly. Lineage: Eukaryota; Metazoa; Chordata; Lepidosauria; Squamata; Phrynosomatidae.
AGCCAAUGUGGUGCAGUGGUUUGAGCGCUGGAUUACGACUCUGGGGACCAGGGCUCAAAUCCGUGCUUGGUUG